UACAGAGGGUGCAAGCGUUGUUCGGAAUUAUUGGGCGUAAAGCGCGUGUAGGCGGCUUGUCAAGUCGGGUGUGAAAGCCCUCAGCUCAACUGAGGAAGUGCGCCCGAAACUGAUGAGCUUGAGUGUCGGAGAGGAUGGCGGAAUACCCCAAGUAGAGGUGAAAUUCGUAGAUAUGGGGUGGAACACCGGUGGCGAAGGCGGCCAUCUGGACGACAACUGACGCUGAGACGCGAAAGCGUGGGGAGCAAACAGG
RNAcentral lists this ribosomal RNA (253 nucleotides) under uncultured bacterium. Its description in RNAcentral is "partial 16S ribosomal RNA". It matches the Rfam family "Bacterial small subunit ribosomal RNA", at positions 524 to 776 of the family's 1533-position model. The record is from RNAcentral.